This 253-nucleotide unclassified non-coding RNA is filed under the name Hevea brasiliensis (rubber tree). The record is from RNAcentral. Lineage: Eukaryota; Viridiplantae; Streptophyta; Magnoliopsida; Malpighiales; Euphorbiaceae.
AUAAGUGUACUCCGGGGGGUAUGCAGAGUAGCCAUAUACAUUGUAAGGAAUCCCUUGUUGGAUAGCAUUAUUAUGAGCAAAAGCAACUGAAGCAAAAGCUGCUCCCAUCCCACCAAGGAGUCCUGCUGUAUUAUGAAAGGCCUUCACGCCUGGUCUAAAGCCCUUCUUUGCUCCUCCUUGUGUUGGAGGUGGUGUUGUAGGUGCUGAUUUCUGAACACCAAGAGAAGCAAGGUUGCAAUUGGCCCUCCUUCCG